This 254-nucleotide ribosomal RNA is filed under the name uncultured bacterium. RNAcentral's name for it is "partial 16S ribosomal RNA". It matches the Rfam family "Bacterial small subunit ribosomal RNA", at positions 524 to 776 of the family's 1533-position model. The record is from RNAcentral.
UACGGAGGGGGCUAGCGUUGUUCGGAAUUACUGGGCGUAAAGCGCACGUAGGCGGCUUUGUAAGUUAGAGGUGAAAGCCCCAGGGCUUAACCCUGGAAUUGCCUUUAAGACUGCAUCGCUAGAAUCGUGGAGAGGUGAGUGGAAUUCCGAGUGUAGAGGUGAAAUUCGUAGAUAUUCGGAAGAACACCAGUGGCGAAGGCGACUCACUGGACACGUAUUGACGCUGAGGUGCGAAAGCGUGGGGAGCAAACAGG